UCAAUUAAGAGAAUUUCUAAAGUGAGAGGAAUUAGAUGUCUGGGAAAAAUAUGACAAAACUUAUGUUGGUAAUAAUUGAGUUGAUUAUCCUCGUGAUACUCAAAGUGCAUGCUAAUGAUCCUACCACUCCCUCUUCUGCCCCACAACACUACUAACCGGUCUUCAUCUCUUCCAACUUGACAAUGCAGAUGUGAGUUAUAUUGAUCAUUGCAUUGAAAGCACUUUGAAAAAGUGUAAAUUCCAUGAACCAUUUGCUACAACUUAUUUUCUUCUUAAAUGCCUUUUCCAAAGUCCAAUGCAUCCUAAAGAUUUUCCUAUCAGCAUUGAUGAUAUGAUAGUAGAUUGCUAUAAGCAUUGUUUUAUGAAUCUGAAACUUCAAGGCAAACCUCAUGCACGUUGUCUAGUACAAUGCUAUGAAGAGGAAACCAAGAAGCAUAAUACGAAGAAUUGAUAAGCUUCGAGUUUGGUUGGUGAGUGAGAUCUUCAAUAUAUUUGGAUAUAUAAAAACUCGUAGUUUUCUUGAUUAUGCUUUAGUGAUUUGGACUGUUAUAAGGGGCUCGAGGGACCUAUGCUUUGUUGGUUUACCUUGUUAUGUCAUUUUUGUUUUGGUAUAUGAUAUGAAACGUAUUUUCCAAAAGAUUGGACUUUCCUUUGUAGUGUUCAUGUGUUACUAAAUGCCGAGGCCCAAAACCUUUUGGCUUCUAUGUUGUGAGGAAAAAUGUUAUGACAUGAAUGAUCAAUUGAAGAGUAAGACUUUGUAACAUUUAUAUUUAAUGAAAUGACGUUAUAGUUCAUGAGGUU
Molecule: long non-coding RNA, 801 nt
Organism: Alnus glutinosa
Lineage: Eukaryota; Viridiplantae; Streptophyta; Magnoliopsida; Fagales; Betulaceae
Exons: 2
Source: RefSeq, a predicted model, not a curated record